This 1672-nucleotide unclassified non-coding RNA is filed under the name uncultured fungus. RNAcentral describes it as "sequence contains 18S rRNA gene, ITS1, 5.8S rRNA gene, ITS2, 28S rRNA gene". The stretch from base 727 to 1672 matches the Rfam family "Eukaryotic large subunit ribosomal RNA", at positions 1 to 961 of the family's 3401-position model. Lineage: Eukaryota; Fungi. The record is from RNAcentral.
GGAAGGAUCAUUACCGAGUGGAAAGCCGUGAAAAUUUUAAAAAGCGGCUAAUACACAUUUCAACUCUUUGUGAACUUUUUCCUGUUGCUUUGGCGGGACAUCAAUUCAAAAAGGGUACCUCUAGUUUUGUAGUUUGUUCCUUUCCUUUUCAAAACUAGGACUUAAAGGAAGGAAUUACCUUUUUUGUUUUGACUUUAGAGAUUCUCUGAGGAGCAUCCGCCAGAGGUUUUUAUCAAUAAACCCUUUUUUUUAUCAAUUUGUAUUUUUGUUCAAUUAUAAAGAAUAAAAUUAAAACUUUCAGCAACGGAUCUCUUGGCUCUCGCAUCGAUGAAGAACGCAGCGAAAUGCGAUAUGUAUUGUGAAUUGCAGAAAUUCGUGAAUCAUCGAAUCUUUGAACGCACAUUGCGCCUGCUGGAUUUAUCUAGCAAGCAUACCUGUUUGAGCGUCGAUUAAUACUCUCUAACAUACAAAAUAUGUUAGGUCUUGACCCUCCAAGUGUUUAAUUGUUGCAUUCCUCAGAAUGCAGCUGGGUUGAAAUUUAUAUUGCUUCCUGGUUAAAUGUCAGAAUUCAACUUCCAGUGUAAUAGUUGUCAAAAUUCUUAUCGCUGGGCUUUUAUUCUUUAUUAUUUACUUUUCAUACAUCUUGUAAAGUUUGAAAUAAAAAAUAAAGGUAAUUUUGGUUGUUUUUGCUUUAACUAUUGGGAACAUAAUUUAAACUUGAACUUUGGACCUCAAAUCAGGCAAGAAUACCCGCUGAACUUAAGCAUAUCAAUAAGCGGAGGAAAAGAAACCAACAGGGAUUCCCUCAGUAACUGCGAGUGAAGCGGGAAGAGCUCAAAUUUGAAAUCUGGCGGUUUAGGCCGUCCGACUUGUAAUUUCUAGAGGCAUUUUCGGUCAAGAGUCAGGUAGAAGUCCUUUGGAACAGGGCGUCAUAGAGGGUGAGAAUCCCGUACAUGACCUGACAACCUUGGCUAUGUGAAGUGUCUUCGAAGAGUCGAGUUGUUUGGGAAUGCAGCUCAAAAUGGGAGGUAAAUUUCUUCUAAAGCUAAAUAUUGGCGAGAGACCGAUAGCGAACAAGUAGAGUGAUCGAAAGAUGAAAAGAACUUUGAAAAGAGAGUUAAACAGUACGUGAAAUUGCCGAAAGGGAAGCGAUUGGAGUCAGAAUUUACUUGCUUGAGAUCAGCCCUGCUUCUGUUGGGUGCACUUUCAAGUUUAGUAGGUCAGCAUCGAUUUUGGCGGCUUUAGAAAGGCUAGAGGAAUGUAACUUCUCCGGAAGCGUUAUAGCCUCAAGCGUAAUAUGGCCAGCUAGGAUCGAGGACAGCGGCUUAAUUGCCUAGGAUGCUGGCAUAAUGGCUCUAAACGACCCGUCUUGAAACACGGACCAAGGAGUCUAACAACUAUGCGAGUGUUUGGGUGGCAAACCCAUACGCGCAAUGAAAGUGAAUGGAGGUGGGAUCCGAAAGGUGCACCAUCGACCGAUCUUGAAGUUUUCUGAUGGAUUUGAGUAAGAGCAUAGCUGUUGGGACCCGAAAGAUGGUGAACUAUGCCUGAAUAGGGUGAAGCCAGAGGAAACUCUGGUGGAGGCUCGUAGCGAUUCUGACGUGCAAAUCGAUCGUCGAAUUUGGGUAUAGGGGCGAAAGACUAAUCGAACCAUCUAGUAGCUGGUUCCUGC